This 71-nucleotide transfer RNA is filed under the name Kalaharituber pfeilii. Its description in RNAcentral is "tRNA-Gly". It matches the Rfam family "tRNA". Rfam says of the family: Transfer RNA (tRNA) molecules are approximately 80 nucleotides in length. Their secondary structure includes four short double-helical elements and three loops (D, anti-codon, and T loops). Further hydrogen bonds mediate the characteristic L-shaped molecular structure. tRNAs have two regions of fundamental functional importance: the anti-codon, which is responsible for specific mRNA codon recognition, and the 3' end, to which the tRNAs corresponding amino acid is attached (by aminoacyl-tRNA synthetases). tRNAs cope with the degeneracy of the genetic code in two manners: having more than one tRNA (with a specific anti-codon) for a particular amino acid; and 'wobble' base-pairing, i.e. permitting non-standard base-pairing at the 3rd anti-codon position. Lineage: Eukaryota; Fungi; Ascomycota; Pezizomycetes; Pezizales; Pezizaceae. RNAcentral also lists the same sequence under 3 other names. The record is from RNAcentral.
GCAUCAGUGGUCCAGUGGUAUGAUGAAUCGUUGCCAUCGAUUCGACCGGGGUUCGAUUCCCCGCUGAUGCA